Molecule: long non-coding RNA, 1998 nt
Organism: Macrobrachium nipponense
Lineage: Eukaryota; Metazoa; Arthropoda; Malacostraca; Decapoda; Palaemonidae
Exons: 3
Source: RefSeq, a predicted model, not a curated record
GCUCCAGAUCAUAACAGAGCAUAAAAGUAACAUGGGCUCAUCCCAACGGCUCAGUUGCAACUCGUGCAGUCAAUUGAAAUAGUUCACGCUGUGUCUUCCGACCACAUCACGCCCUAAGAGGCCUUGCGCCUCCAGGGCCACUACGGAGGUGGUGAGGCAGGUAGCUGCUGCUGUAGCUCGUCCAAGAACAAGAAGAAGAGCGGCAGCUGCUGUUGUGGCUGCAGCCGUGGUGCUUGCGGCCAGAAGAGCGGGAGAAAGAGGGGUCACCACCACCAGUCGGCAUACCGGCAGCGCAGAAAGUGACCCAAAUCCUCUCAGAGAAAGAGGCAGUCGAUCUAGAGAGGACUCCAGCUCACUGGGUGACAACUCCAGUACUACCGUCUUGGUCACGAGCGAAGAACCGAACGCUGACGGCAUCGUUAAGAGCCUUGCAGCAACUGCAGACCUCGUCCAGAGGGUCACGUUAGACAAGCAAGAUGAACACCACGACAUUGCCAGCGAAGACGACGAGGAAGAGAUGACUUUCAUGAAAGAUCUCGUGGUUCUCUGAGCGUUGUUUACUAUCUAGGGGAAGCGGACGAUUGUCAUCAGUCAUGGCGCCAUCAAUCCAUCAGUAGUUGUGACGUUUUGAUUUUUCAGUUGCAAGGGCUCGAGCUGAGCUCUAUGUGUUCGUGAGGUCAUCAUUAAUGAGCAAGGAAGCGAUAACAGCUUGUUACUAGAUCCGUAAUUCAUCAACCUCUUGAAAUUAGUAUUUCCUAGAAGUGCAUUUUCCAAAUUGUAAGUUAACUCGACACGCUGGCUGACGUUCUAUUCCCCAUUAUUUUACCACCGAAUAUUCAGGUAAAACGAAGUUUACAAUACCACGCACUUAAGAAAAACUUAUUGAUUGAAAAUAAAAGGCACAACAAUACUCACAAAACUACCAGGACAGCCUUCAUUACAGUGCACAAAUGUACAAAUCUACACCGUUCCAUUCUCCUCCUUAGAAUCAGACGAAUAGUGAACUGUUGCCUUGGGUGCCAUUUCGGUGAUGAUGAAGGGUUUCUUAUCACUAAUUCGUCCAGAAAAGCAUUUUAACUGACUAAAAUACCCAUAUAUUUAACGAUGUCAAACUGUUCUGAAUGUGUUGAUCCUUAUAGAAUGCUUUAAAUAUUCCCCAUAUUAUCAAUGUUUUAAACUUACAAUCAGCAGUAUGAAAAUUUGAGUGGUUCUCGAAACCCUUCAUUAUCAUUGCGUUACUCUGAAAUUAUAUUAUUUUUGUAGCACAGGUUUUGUUUUCAGUAGCAGACAUGCAUGUUGAUUUCUUUACUUUUAUUUUACAGUAUGGACCUUUUUUGGUUUUGUAUUCAUACAUUUACAUUUAUUGUAUAUUUUGCUCAUUUUUCCAGCAAGUUUUAUUUUAUUUUAUUUCUUUUAGAAAGAGUGGAUAUUCCGUAAUUAUCAAGUUUGGGUAAAUAAGACUUAAAGAACCCUUAUUUGAAAAAAAUAUAUAUAUUUUCUUAUCUACUGAGAUCACACUUAUUCGUCCAGACGUAUCGAUAUCCCAAAUUCUGCUUUGGAAUUGUAACAAAUAACUCAGCUUCUCUGAAGUAACUCGGGCAAUAACGCGCCAAAGUCCCCAGCUCUCGCACAUAUCACUGGAACUUUCGAAAGUUUUUAAAAGUAUUUUAAGGUCUUUUGUAAUUAUUUAUUUAUCUUCUAUUGAUUUAUCCGUCUAUUUGGAUGGGUGUAAUUAUCUCAAGGCGAUGUAACCCUAUCUUAGUGAUGUAGUUACAUUUCCUGAUAUAAACAUGACAACAUUUCUCGAGCGGACGUGACCUUCGCCAAAAAUGACUACUUAUUGAAUUCACUUAAAUUGAUUUUUUCUUUUUUUCAUUAUCAAGAGUUAGUUUGACUAUUAUAGUGUAAUCGAGGCAUUGCAAUAAGUUAAUCUGUGGGAAAACAUAAUUAACGUUUCCUACCUGUUGAAUGUUGUAUUUAAAUAAAGUUUUUCAUGAA